Ectocarpus siliculosus is the source of this 119-nucleotide non-coding RNA. Lineage: Eukaryota; Phaeophyceae; Ectocarpales; Ectocarpaceae. The record is from Rfam.
AGGAACGGCCAUACCACGCCGAUCGCACCACAUCCCGUCCGCUCUGUGAAGUUAAGCGGCGUCGGGCCAGGCUAGUACUACGGUGGGGGACCACGUGGGAAGCCCUGGUGCUGUUCCUU